RNAcentral lists this ribosomal RNA (465 nucleotides) under uncultured bacterium. RNAcentral's name for it is "partial 16S ribosomal RNA". It matches the Rfam family "Bacterial small subunit ribosomal RNA", at positions 28 to 507 of the family's 1533-position model. The record is from RNAcentral.
GACGAACGCUGGCGGCGUGCUUAACACAUGCAAGUCGAACGGAAAGGCCCCCUUGUGGGGUACUCGAGUGGCGAACGGGUGAGUAACACGUGAGUAACCUACCCUUGACUUUGGGAUAACUUCAGGAAACUGGGGCUAAUACCGGAUAGGAGCUCCUGCUGCAUGGUGGGGGUUGGAAAGUUUCGGCGGUUGGGGAUGGACUCGCGGCUUAUCAGCUUGUUGGUGGGGUAGUGGCUCACCAAGGCUUUGACGGGUAGCCGGCCUGAGAGGGUGACCGGGCACAUUGGGACUGAGAUACGGCCCAGACUCCUACGGGAGGCAGCAGUGGGGAAUAUUGCACAAUGGGCGGAAGCCUGAUGCAGCAACGCCGCGUGCGGGAUGACGGCCUUCGGGUUGUAAACCGCUUUCGCCUGUGACGAAGCGUGAGUGACGGUAAUGGGUAAAGAAGCACCGGCUAACUACGUG